AGAACGAACGCUGGCGGCAUGCCUAACACAUGCAAGUCGAACGCCUGUAGCAAUACAGGAGUGGCGCACGGGUGAGUAACGCGUGGGAACCUGCCCUGGAGUGGGGGAUAACCGAGGGAAACUUCGGCUAAUACCGCAUACGUCCUUAGGGAGAAAGAUUUAUCGCUCUAGGAGGGGCCCGCGUCGGAUUAGCUAGUUGGUGAGGUAACGGCUCACCAAGGCGACGAUCCGUAGCUGGUCUGAGAGGAUGAUCAGCCACACUGGGACUGAGACACGGCCCAGACUCCUACGGGAGGCAGCAGUGGGAAUAUUGGACAAUGGGGGCAACCCUGAUCCAGCAAUGCCGCGUGAGUGAUGAAGGCCUUCGGGUUGUAAAGCUCUUUUGCCAGGGACGAUGAUGACGGUACCUGGAGAAUAACGCCCGGCUAACUUCGUGCCAGCAGCCGC
RNAcentral lists this ribosomal RNA (447 nucleotides) under uncultured bacterium. RNAcentral's name for it is "SSU rRNA". It matches the Rfam family "Bacterial small subunit ribosomal RNA", at positions 26 to 518 of the family's 1533-position model. The record is from RNAcentral.